Molecule: long non-coding RNA, 598 nt
Organism: Bradysia coprophila
Lineage: Eukaryota; Metazoa; Arthropoda; Insecta; Diptera; Sciaridae
Source: RefSeq, a predicted model, not a curated record
UAAAUGAUGGAAAUAGUACUUCUUGUGUUAAAUUUGCCGAUCGAGGCGUACCAUUCGGGAUACGAGAUUUCAAUUUACUUCGAUAUACUUAUAUGGGCGUGAAACAAUUGCAAGCACCGUUGUAUCGCGGAAAUUUCACGAAAGAAAAGUUUUCAGAAUAAAGUUUUUUUAUUCAACUGUAUCAAGGAAAUGAAGUCAAUAGCGCUCAUCUUUGCAGUCGUUCUUACUCUCUCGAUCAUACAAUUUACAGAUACCAAAGGAUGCUCAAGCGGAUGCUCUGGUCUUCGAGCCGAUAACAAAAAGGUUAUUUGUUCGUGUGGUACUCAAUUCGAUAACAGCGCUGAUGAAACUAAGAAAUGUGGAGAAAAGUUGAAUGUGGCUUGCUUCAUUUCCCAGAACAGACGAAAGUGUAAGGUAGACGAAAAGCAGAAACAAUUCGAAGAUUGUUGUGAUGAGCAACGGGAACAAUCUUAUUGUGAAUAAUUAAAAAUGGCGAAUGUGACGAACUUUGACGGACUAUGUAUUUAAUGGACCACAUUUUAUAUUCAGAUUUCGACUGUAUUUUGGGUUGGAUUGAUGGAUUAAAUUGUCGCAAAAA